UACAGAGGGUGCGAGCGUUAAUCGGAAUUACUGGGCGUAAAGCGCGCGUAGGCGGCUUUGCAAGUCGGGUGUGAAAUCCCCAGGCUUAACCUGGGAACUGCAUUCGAGACUGCAUUGCUAGAGUAUGGGAGAGGGAAGUGGAAUUUCCGGUGUAGCGGUGAAAUGCGUAGAGAUCAGGAAGAACAUCGGUGGCGAAGGCGCUCUGCUGGACCAUAACUGACACUCAGGGACGAAAGCUAGGGGAGCGAAUGGG
This 253-nucleotide ribosomal RNA is filed under the name uncultured bacterium. RNAcentral describes it as "partial 16S ribosomal RNA". It matches the Rfam family "Bacterial small subunit ribosomal RNA", at positions 524 to 776 of the family's 1533-position model. The record is from RNAcentral.